CCUACGGGAGGCAGCAGUGAGGAAUAUUGGUCAAUGGACGAGAGUCUGAACCAGCCAAGUAGCGUGAAGGAUGACUGCCCUAUGGGUUGUAAACCUCUUUUAUAAAGGAAUAAAACGAGGCACGUGUGCCUUUUUGCAUGUACUUUAUGAAUAAGGAUCGGCUAACUCCGUGCCAGCAGCCGCGGUAAUACGGAGGAUCCGAGCGUUAUCCGGAUUUAUUUGGUUUAAAGGGAGCGUAGAUGGGUUGUUAAGUCAGUUGUGAAAGUAUGCGGCUCAACCGUAAAAUUGCAAUUGAUACUGGUGAUCUUGAGUACAGUUGAGGUAUGCGGAAUUCGUGGUGUAGCGGUGAAAUGCUUAGAUAUCACGAAGAACCCCGAUUGCGAAGGCAGCUUACUAAACUGUGACUGACAUUGAUGCUCGAAAGUGUGGGUAUCAAACAGGAUUAGAUACCCGUGUAGUC
RNAcentral lists this ribosomal RNA (460 nucleotides) under uncultured bacterium. Its description in RNAcentral is "partial 16S ribosomal RNA". It matches the Rfam family "Bacterial small subunit ribosomal RNA", at positions 338 to 795 of the family's 1533-position model. The record is from RNAcentral.